This 451-nucleotide ribosomal RNA is filed under the name uncultured bacterium. RNAcentral's name for it is "partial 16S ribosomal RNA". It matches the Rfam family "Bacterial small subunit ribosomal RNA", at positions 29 to 523 of the family's 1533-position model. The record is from RNAcentral.
AACGAACGCUGGCGGCAGGCUUAACACAUGCAAGUCGAACGGUUGUAGCAAUACAGCAGUGGCAGACGGGUGAGUAACACGUGGGAACCUUCCUAGGGGUACGGAACAACUCAGGGAGACUUGAGCUAAUACCGUAUACGUCCGUGAGGAGAAAGAUUUAUCGCCCUUAGACGGGCCCGCGUCGGAUUAGCUAGUUGGUGGGGUAACGGCCUACCAAGGCGACGAUCCGUAGCUGAUCUUAGAGGAUGAUCAGCCACACUGGGACUGAGACACGGCCCAGACUCCUACGGGAGGCAGCAGUGGGGAAUCUUGGACAAUGGGCGCAAGCCUGAUCCAGCCAUGCCGCGUGAGUGAAGAAGGUCUUCGGAUUGUAAAGCUCUUUUGCCAGGGACGAUAAUGACGGUACCUGGAGAAUAAGCCCCGGCAAACUUCGUGCCAGCAGCCGCAGUAA